GAUGAACGCUGGCGGCGUGCCUAACACAUGCAAGUCGAACGAGGUAAAUAAGAUGAAGUUUUCGAAUGGAUUCUUAUUUACCGAGUGGCGGACGGGUGAGUAACGCGUGGGUAACCUGCCUCAUACAGGGGGAUAACGAUUGGAAACGAUUGCUAAUACCGCAUAAGCGCACAGUACCACAUGGUACGGUGUGAAAAACUCCGGUGGUAUGAGAUGGACCCGCGUCUGAUUAGCUAGUUGGUGAGGUAACGGCCCACCAAGGCAACGAUCAGUAGCCGACCUGAGAGGGUGACCGGCCACGAUUGGGACUGAGACACGGCCCAGACUCCUACGGGAGGCAGCAGUGGGGAAUUUGGACAAUGGGGGGCAACCCUGAUCCAGCCAUGCCGCGUGCAGGAU
This 399-nucleotide ribosomal RNA is filed under the name uncultured bacterium. Its description in RNAcentral is "bacterial SSU rRNA". It matches the Rfam family "Bacterial small subunit ribosomal RNA", at positions 28 to 409 of the family's 1533-position model. The record is from RNAcentral.